Molecule: ribosomal RNA, 442 nt
Filed under: uncultured bacterium
Lineage: Bacteria
Description: partial 16S ribosomal RNA
Rfam family: Bacterial small subunit ribosomal RNA
Source: RNAcentral
CCUACGGGAGGCAGCAGUAGGGAAUCUUUCACAAUGGGCGAAAGCCUGAUGGAGCAACGCCGCGUGCAGGAUGAAGGCCUUCGGGUUGUAAACUGCUUUUAUAAGCGAGAAAUAUGAUGGUAACUUAUGAAUAAGGAUCGGCUAACUACGUGCCAGCAGCCGCGGUCAUACGUAGGAUCCGAGCAUUAUCCGGAGUGACUGGGUGUAAAGAGUUGCGUAGGUGGGAUAAUAAGUAGCUAGUGAAAUCUGGUGGCUCAAACAUUCAGACUAUUAGCUAAACUGUUAAGCUCGAGACCGUUAGGGGUAACUGGAAUUUCUAGUGUAGGAGUGAAAUGCGUAGAUAUUAGAAAGAACACCGAUAGCGUAGGCAGGUUACUGGGACGGUUCUGACACUAAGGCACGAAAGCGUAGGGAGCAAACGGGAUUAGAUACCCGGGUAGUC